UAGGGAAUCUUCCGCAAUGGACGAAAGUCUGACGGAGCAACGCCGCGUGAGUGAUGAAGGUUUUCGGAUCGUAAAGCUCUGUUGUUAGGGAAGAACAAGUGCCGUUCAAAUAGGGCGGCACCUUGACGGUACCUAACCAGAAAGCCACGGCUAACUACGUGCCAGCAGCCGCGGUAAUACGUAGGUGGCAAGCGUUGUCCGUAAUUAUUGGGCGUAAAGGGCUCGCAGGCGGUUUCUUAAGUCUGAUGUGAAAGCCCCCGGCUCAACCGGGGAGGGUCAUUGGAAACUGGGGAACUUGAGUGCAGAAGAGGAGAGUGGAAUUCCACGUGUAGCGGUGAAAUGCGUAGAGAUGUGGAGGAACACCAGUGGCGAAGGCGACUCUCUGGUCUGUAACUGACGCUGAGGAGCGAAAGCGUGGGGAGCGAACA
Molecule: ribosomal RNA, 428 nt
Filed under: uncultured bacterium
Lineage: Bacteria
Description: partial 16S ribosomal RNA
Rfam family: Bacterial small subunit ribosomal RNA
Source: RNAcentral